AGUGAACGCUGGCGGUAGGCCUAACACAUGCAAGUCGAACGGCAGCACAGUAAGAGCUUGCUCGUACGGGUGGCGAGUGGCGGACGGGGGAGGAAUACAUCGGAAUCUACUUUUUCGUGGGGGAUAACGUAGGGAAACUUACGCUAAUACCGCAUACGACCUACGGGUGAAAGCAUGGGAUCUUCGGACCUUGUGCGAUGGAAUGAGCCGAUGUCGGAUUAGCUAGUUGGCGGGGUAAAGGCCGCCCAAGGCGGCGGUCCGUAGCUGGUCUGAGGGGAUGGUUCGCCACCACAGAGGUACGGAGACGCGCCCAAGACUCCUGGGGGCGGCAGUAGGGGAUAAUAGGGCAUGGGGGGAGGCCUCAUCCUGCCCCGCCGCCGCGGGAGAGAAGGCCUUCGGGUUGUAAAGCCCUUUUGUUGGGAAAGAAAAGCAGCAGGUUAAUACCCCGCUGUUCUGACGGUACCCAAAGAAUAAGCACCGGCUAACUUCGUG
RNAcentral lists this ribosomal RNA (492 nucleotides) under uncultured bacterium. Its description in RNAcentral is "partial 16S ribosomal RNA". It matches the Rfam family "Bacterial small subunit ribosomal RNA", at positions 29 to 507 of the family's 1533-position model. The record is from RNAcentral.